AUGGCGACGCAGCAGCCGGGCGGCCUCCCGGACCACCAGGCCCGCGCGCUCUCCGCCGCCUACACCGGCGUCUGCGCCACCAAGGAGCCUGUCCGGACCCCCGGCGACCUAGCCCGUCUCAAGGGAGUUGGAGGUUGGGUUGUUGAUGUUAUGGAAGACUCCUUUCCAGGGUCCAGCCUUGAUUUGUCUCCUCCGAGAAGUAACACACCAGGAGAAACAGGGAAGAAGAACACACGAAACAAACCUUAUGUGCCACGGUUGAAAUCAGCUGCUUAUGCAAUAAUGAUCACACUCUACAGGGAAAUGGAAAGAGGGAAGGAAUUUAUGAUGAGGCAAGAGCUUAUUGAUGCUGCUAAGGCCAGUGGUCUGUCAGAACAUGCAAUAGGCUCAAACAACAGUAGGAAUUCUCGGAAUGACGGUUACAGUUACACUGGAUGGAAUAGCAUGAAGAAGUUAACAAAUAAGGAUCUGGUUAAGAAAAAGAGUAAUCCUGCAAAAUCCAAAAAUGCGGCUAACCUUUGGACUCUGGUGUGUUUUUGCUGUUUGGCACAUGUGUUCUCUAGUAAUUUAACUUGUAUCAAGAAACAUUCCUACUUCAACAACGGCGGUGCUACUAAUUCUCCUCUUUCAUCUCGAGGAAUGUUUGGACAACAAUCGUUUAACUUGAUCCAUUCGGGUCGGGUCACUACAUUACUAGCUAUGCCACCUCAUCAAUCUAAUGAAAGUUUUCUGAAAGCUUAUGAAGUGGUGCUGAUAUUGGAUGAUCGAGAUACUUUCGGGCCCCGUUCCAGAAGAAAAGUUGUUGAUAAUAUACGCUCGCAGUUUAAUAUUCCUGUAGAGAUUAAGCACUUGCCUGUUGGAGAUGCUCUUUGGAUUGCUCGCCAUAAAGAACUUGACACGGAGUAUGUUCUUGAUUUCAUUGUUGAAAGGAAAAAUGUGGAUGAUUUACUUGGCUCAACUAAAGACAAUAGAUACAAAGAUCAAAAACUAAGACUGAAGAAAUGUGGGCUAAGGAAGCUAAUAUAUCUAGUUGAAGGAGAUGUAAACACUGUAGAUGGAUCAGAGAGCGUUAAAAUAGCGAUUGAUGUCCAGAGAACCACUGGGUAUGCUGAAACUGAAAAGAAAUACAGCCACCUCACGGGCUCUAUAAUUGAUUACUACAGUAGAAACUUCUCUGCUGGUGCUGAUACCUCUCGACUUUGCCUGACCUACGACGAGUUUGUGAAGAGGUGUUCUGACCUUGAGAAGGUCACUAUGAGCGAUAUAUUCACCCUUCAGCUUAUGCAGGUGCCACAAGUGACAGAAGAAGCUGCUCUUGCUGUCACGAGUCUCUACCCCACUCUUCUCUCGCUUGCUAAGGCGUACACCAUGCUUGAUGGCGAUAGGCGUGCACAGGAGGAGAUGCUGAAGAACAAGAACAACAUGGUCAACGCAGGGGCUAGCAAGAACAUCUUCAAGCUCUUCUGGGCGGAAGGAUGA
RNAcentral lists this ribosomal RNA (1479 nucleotides) under Triticum aestivum (bread wheat). Its description in RNAcentral is "partial small subunit ribosomal RNA". The record is from RNAcentral. Lineage: Eukaryota; Viridiplantae; Streptophyta; Magnoliopsida; Poales; Poaceae.